UACGUAGGGUGCAAGCGUUGUCCGGAAUUAUUGGGCGUAAAGAGCUCGUAGGCGGUCUGUCGCGUCGGAUGUGAAAAUCCAGGGCUCAACCCUGGACCUGCAUUCGAUACGGGCAGACUAGAGUUCGGUAGGGGAGACUGGAAUUCCUGGUGUAACGGUGAAAUGCGCAGAUAUCAGGAGGAACACCGGUGGCGAAGGCGGGUCUCUGGGCCGAAACUGACGCUGAGGAGCGAAAGCGUGGGGAGCGAACAGG
This 253-nucleotide ribosomal RNA is filed under the name uncultured bacterium. RNAcentral describes it as "partial 16S ribosomal RNA". It matches the Rfam family "Bacterial small subunit ribosomal RNA", at positions 524 to 776 of the family's 1533-position model. The record is from RNAcentral.